This is a long non-coding RNA of Salvia miltiorrhiza (redroot sage), 1422 nucleotides long. RefSeq lists it as uncharacterized. NCBI's taxonomy places the organism in Eukaryota, Viridiplantae, Streptophyta, Magnoliopsida, Lamiales, Lamiaceae. The record is from RefSeq and is a predicted model, not a curated record. The transcript is spliced from 4 exons.
UCAUUUCAGACGAUUUUUUUCCCUAUCUAAAGUUUUUAGAAUUUUUACUGUCAAUAUUUUUUCCCGCUUGUUCGUCUUCACUCCCGGCGAUUCCAGUUGAAGGUGUUGCGAUUGUAGUUGGUUGUUUUUGGUUUUGCGAAUUUCAUCCUCGGGUCCGACGUUUAGGUCCGACGUUAGUUCCUGUGUUGUUCGGCAUUUUGAAGGGUAGGAUUUGGAAGUUCUUUCGUCUCCCGCCGUUGCCUCCGGCGACUGUGUCCGUGGGUACGGAGCAAUUUCUCCCUCUACAGGUGAUUCUAGUUCGUAAGGGUUUCCAACCAUUGGUGGUUCGCCUUCCGCCCAAGGCUCCGGCGACUUCCUCCACCAUUCCUAUGUACGAAAAUUUCAGAGCUGUAGAGAUUUCUUUGAAAAAAACUCCCGUUGAUACUAAUAAAGAGAGCUAUCAUGAUGGAAUAACUGUAACCACUAAGGAAUAUGCUGAAGAUUUGGACAAAGAGAUCAUCAAUUACGAUGAAGUACGAACUCGUCUUCGCCGUCUAGAAUUUGAGCUCACAAGAGCUCUGUGCUCCAUUAGAUCUAAACGGGAGGAUAGUAUUUCAUAAGAGAAGGAUGAGAAGAUCAAAGUCUGGCGUGUUUUCAAUAACCUUGAAGUUGUAUCCGGGCAAAUACGAGAUCAAAUUCAUAGUUAAUGGACAAUGGAAACUCGAUCCUCUGCGCCCUACCGUCAACAACAAUGGACAUCAAAACAACCUUUUCAUCGUUACAUGAAUCUGUACAAAAUUUGUUUGCACUUACAGAUAGAAAAAUACCCCAAAAAGCUGGUGUACAACAUGCAAUGAUUUUAUUACCAUACAUAUGAGUUAUUUGUUACUUUUAUAUUAUUUUCAUUUUUCUUACUUUGGGGUAAGAGUCGAAGCCUUACUUUUAUAAGAUCCUAACCAAUAAAUUGAGUACAUAUUCUGUGUAGUCAUAUGGCAGGUCAGCUAAUAACAAUGAUAGUGUAGAAGUUUAUCUGUUUUUCUAUGAGGUCAAUAUUCAUAUAUGCUGAAGAAGUUAAUUUUUGUCCUUGUUUUACCCUACGGGAAAGGUGAUUUUAUAUGUCCCUCGAUCAUUGCUGAUAUUGUAGGAUUGUAUGAACUAUUUUGAGAUUUUACUAUUUAUUGGUCGAAGUAAAGUAACUGUAUCUUUCUAAGUGCUAGAGAAACGCCUUGGACCGUAAAGAUUGUUGCUAGACAGAGCAAGAGAGAUCAAGUUCUUGCAGCUUUUGAUGGAAUGAGGAAUGGUGUUUCAGGCAGAGAUUCUUGGCUGCUGAAGCACUGAAUCCAUUGAAACAGAGAUUCUUGCGAGGAUCAAGGUUCCUCUCUAUUUUGAGGAAUGGUGUUUGAGAUGGAGAUUCUUGGCUGUUGAAGCACUCAAUCCAUUGAA